Molecule: unclassified non-coding RNA, 229 nt
Filed under: Hevea brasiliensis (rubber tree)
Lineage: Eukaryota; Viridiplantae; Streptophyta; Magnoliopsida; Malpighiales; Euphorbiaceae
Source: RNAcentral
GGCUACAUGGGAAACAAGGGUUCUGUUUCUGUCAGCAUGUCUCUUUAUCAGUCGCGGUUAUGCUUUGUUUGUUCUCAUUUGACAUCUGGUCAGAAGGAUGGAGCAGAACACAAGCGUAAUGCAGACGUGAAUGAAAUCAUAAGACGAACAAGAUUUUCAUCUGUGUUUGAUUCAGGACAGCCACAGACAAUAUCAUCACAUGAUCAAGUAUUCUGGUUUGGUGAUUUGA